GUCUCAACGAGGAGCUCGGUGAAAUCGUAGUACCUGUGAAGAUGCAGGUUACCCGCGACUGGACGGAAAGACCCCGUGGAGCUUUACUGUAGCUGAUAUUGAAAUUUGGCUCAACUUGGACAGGAUAAGGUGGAGCCCUUGAAACGUGAGCGCCAGCUUACGUUGAGGCGUUGGUGGGAUACCACCCCUGGUGUGUUGGAUUUCUAACCCGCACCAUUUAUCAUGGUGGGAGACAGUGUCAGAUGGACAGUUUGACUGGGGCGGUCGCCUCCUAAAGAGUAACGGAGGUGCGCAAAGGUUACCUUU
This 306-nucleotide ribosomal RNA is filed under the name uncultured Borrelia sp. RNAcentral describes it as "partial 23S ribosomal RNA". It matches the Rfam family "Bacterial large subunit ribosomal RNA", at positions 2018 to 2324 of the family's 2925-position model. The record is from RNAcentral. Lineage: Bacteria; Pseudomonadati; Spirochaetota; Spirochaetia; Spirochaetales; Borreliaceae.